This 1991-nucleotide long non-coding RNA is filed under the name Theobroma cacao (cacao). RNAcentral describes it as "long non-coding RNA (TCAC_LNC000519)". Lineage: Eukaryota; Viridiplantae; Streptophyta; Magnoliopsida; Malvales; Malvaceae. The record is from RNAcentral.
UUUCUUAUAAAACAAUAUUUAUAGAGUUACCGGUAAAUAAUUUUUGUAGCGUAAAAGUUAAAUAAAUUCAUACAUAUUGUAAUACAGAUAACCAAAGUAUAAAAUUUAAUUUACAGUGACACGUGGGCUCACAAACGACCAAAAGUAUCAAAAGCAGUAAACCUAUAGUUUUUGAGGAUGCAAGUUCAACUGUAGCCCUCAACAAAGUGAGCUAUCUACCGACUAUCUUGAGCCUGAAAUGGGUGGAAAGGAGGGUGGUGAGAUUAUAUAAUCCCAGUAAGUAAACAAAUAUCAUCUAAAAUAUCUAAAAUUGAGUAAAUAGAGAUAGAUAAAAUAGUUUAACAUACUGUAAUUCAUCAUGUUUCAACUCAUUUCAACCAAAUAAAAUCAAUUCAUAUAAAUCGAGUAAACAACAUGGCUUAUGAAUUUCUUAAAAGCUUUGGCUCGUGCCAAUAUCAUUCUUAUACUUAGUUAUCAGGGAUACCUUGGUCGGAGGUUAUCCCAACCGAGUCCGCCAAGGCUAUUAAAAAGUUAUGUACACAUAAAUCAUGUUUUUAUUUUGAAAAUAUAGCCGUUCCUUGACGUUGGCUGAGUUCACCCUCACGUGGUGGUUUGGCGUGAAGUGAACUCUAAAGUGUUAACCUCAGGAGUUAUCCAUCCGCGCCUCUCAUGCUGAGGUAUGAAUAUAAUAGGGUUACCGUGCCCUCUUUAAUAAGCUGGUCCACGAAACCCCGUCUACUGCAGCGACCAAUUUAUAACCCACCAUACAAUAAAAAUUCAACAGCAUGACAUGAUAAUUUUAUCAUUAUCCAGCCUAUCAAGGCAAACAACAGUUUAUACAUUUUCAACACAAAUACCAAUUCAGCCAUUCAUGCCAAUAUUGCCAUAAGCCAAUCAAUUAGAACCAUAAAUUCACAACACAUCAAAUAGUCUCCAAUUACUCUAUUUUCCAAAACCAUCAUUCAAUUUCUAGACAAUUUUAUAAAAUCAUUUCAUUAAAUCACAUUUUACUUUUAAAACAUAAAGAUUUACCAUUUAUCUCAUUUUCUAUAAAAUCACAAAAUCGGAUAAAAAUCACUUUAGAUAAUUAAGAUGAUAAUAAGGUUACUCACUAUUUCAAGAGUCGAAUUUCUAGUACUUCGAUUCUUGAUCCUCGGAUACUAUCUCUUUACUUUUGCCAGAAUGCUCACCACAUAGACAUAAUGCACAAUAAGCCAUUUACUACAUUGGUGCUAAUUUGUUAUAAACCAAUUCAAGCUCUAUACUAAUGCAUGAAAUGAGAUGUGAAAUACUCGGAUAACAAUCUAAAUAUAGUGUUCAAUAUAAAUUCAAUUAUGUACCUAAAUAAAACGGUAUUGGCCUAAUUCGAUCUAUCAUUCGAUUAAUUGGCCAAUAUGUCCAAUUCAACUCCAAAUAAUUCCAUUUUUCUCCCAAUACUCCAAAUCAUCAAACACAAAUUAAAUAACUUGAAAUAUGAAAAAAUCAUCUUCACAUUUUCUCUUGGGAAUUUCGGCCAUGGUGGGUGCAUCAAUACUAUGAUUUUUCAAGCUUGAUUCUCACACCAUAAAUCACUAAUUUCUAACCAAAUCACUCGAAAUAAAAUCAAAAUCAUCAUCAAUAUUCUACAUGGAGAAUUCGGUCAAUGAUGGGUGAUGGGAGAACAUUAAUUUUUCUUGCUUGAUUUUCAUGUUACACAUCACUAACUAACUAAAAACACUAAAAUACAUUGAAAUCUAACCAAAUCAAGCAUCAAAACCUCCCUCUAAGUGUUCAGCCAGUAAGAUACCCAUCAUGAAAUCAUGUGAUUUAACCAUGGAAAAUGCAAAAGAAUGUAUGGAAAAGGUAGAUCACAAGUCAAAAUCAAGAAAUUUUACCUUUGAUUGCUUGAUUGCUUGAUUACUUGAAAUUCACCAAUUUUCUCUUGAAUUUUCACCCUAGGGUUCUUGUUCUUUCUUUUCUUCCUUUGUUCUUGCUUUGGCCGGCCAUAUGAA